Molecule: microRNA, 21 nt
Filed under: Populus trichocarpa (black cottonwood)
Lineage: Eukaryota; Viridiplantae; Streptophyta; Magnoliopsida; Malpighiales; Salicaceae
Description: ptc-miR7842
Source: miRBase by way of RNAcentral
UAAAUCAAGCCCGGUACUUUU